AAAAGACAAAAAAAAUGGGGGAAAAAACCAACCUAACCGAAGAAUUAAUUAUCAGUAGCCAGAUGUCGUUUAAUCAAUACGCCACCGUAGUACAUUAUGUAUUGUUGUUAUAUCGGUUUUAACUCGAUUAAAUUACUUGUUUUUUUUUUUUCCGGAACACAAUAUUAUAUUAUAUUGCCGAACGUCGAACACGCGUAAUCUGUUCAAAGGGGUCUCCUAUACCGUUCGUUUGUGGGCGCGACGUUUCGUGCAAAGGACGCGGGAAAGACUACGGACGU
This is a non-coding RNA of Cinara cedri, 278 nucleotides long. NCBI's taxonomy places the organism in Eukaryota, Metazoa, Arthropoda, Insecta, Hemiptera, Aphididae. The record is from the annotation of a GenBank genome assembly.